Molecule: ribosomal RNA, 578 nt
Filed under: Leptodactylus natalensis
Lineage: Eukaryota; Metazoa; Chordata; Amphibia; Anura; Leptodactylidae
Description: partial large subunit ribosomal RNA
Rfam family: Bacterial large subunit ribosomal RNA
Source: RNAcentral
CGCCUUUUGACUACCAAUAAAAGGUCCAGCCUGCCCAGUGACUUUGUUCAACGGCCGCGGUAUCCUAACCGUGCGAAGGUAGCGUAAUCACUUGUUCUUUAAAUGAGGACUAGUAUGAACGGCAUCACGAGGGUUAUACUGUCUCCUCCCUUUAAUCAGUGAAACUGAUCUUCCCGUGAAGAAGCGGGAAUAAAUCUAUAAGACGAGAAGACCCUAUGGAGCUUUAAACACACUACAAUUGCCUCACUCUAUGUUAAUCUCUGGAAAACCACUUAUUCGGGCAUUUUGAUAGCAAGUUUUAGGUUGGGGUGACCGCGGAGCAAAAAACAACCUCCACAGCGAACAGGACUUUCCCUUAAGCUCAGGAUUACAACCCUAAGAAUCAAUAAAUUGACACCCAUUGACCCAAUUUCUUGACCAACGGACCAAGUUACCCUAGGGAUAACAGCGCAAUCUACUUCAAGAGCUCCUAUCGACAAGUGGGUUUACGACCUCGAUGUUGGAUCAGGGUAUCCCAGUGGUGCAGCCGCUGCUAACGGUUCGUUUGUUCAACGAUUAAAACCCUACGUGAUCUGAGU